Molecule: long non-coding RNA, 184 nt
Organism: Homo sapiens (human)
Lineage: Eukaryota; Metazoa; Chordata; Mammalia; Primates; Hominidae
Exons: 3
Source: RefSeq, a predicted model, not a curated record
CGAAAAUUCUAAUAUGUCUCAUCUUCAUUCUUUCAGAUUGCAUCAUGGACAAAAGAAAUAACAGAUUUCAUUUGUCUCUAUGAAAAACAUCAAGAUAAUUUUACCUUACCAAAAAUUGCACACCUUUUCCUUCGAAGAGAGUGGUCAUUAUACCAAAAAGUUUAGGACAAACACCACAAAUAGA